CUACGGGGCGCAGCAGUGAGGAAUAUUGCACAAUGGGGGGAACCCUGAUGCAGCAACGCCGCGUGGAGGAUGACGCAUUUCGGUGUGUAAACUCCUUUUAUAUGUCAAGAAAAUGACGGUAGCAUAUGAAUAAGCACCGGCUAACUCCGUGCCAGCAGCCGCGGUAAUACGGAGGGUGCAAGCGUUACUCGGAAUCACUGGGCGUAAAGGACGCGUAGGCGGGUUGGAAAGUCAGGUGUGAAAUCCUACAGCUUAACUGUAGAACUGCACUUGAAACUUCUAACCUAGAGUAUGGGAGGGGGAGAUGGAAUUAGUGGUGUAGGGGUAAAAUCCGUAGAUAUCACUAGGAAUACCUAAAGCGAAGGCGAUCUCCUGGAACAUUACUGACGCUAAGGCGUGAAAGCGUGGGGAGCAAACAGGAUUAGAUACCCUUGUAGUC
RNAcentral lists this ribosomal RNA (439 nucleotides) under uncultured bacterium. RNAcentral describes it as "partial 16S ribosomal RNA". It matches the Rfam family "Bacterial small subunit ribosomal RNA", at positions 339 to 795 of the family's 1533-position model. The record is from RNAcentral.